This 564-nucleotide ribosomal RNA is filed under the name uncultured bacterium. RNAcentral's name for it is "bacterial SSU rRNA". It matches the Rfam family "Bacterial small subunit ribosomal RNA", at positions 8 to 578 of the family's 1533-position model. The record is from RNAcentral.
AGAGUUUGAUCAUGGCUCAGGAUGAACGCUAGCGGCAGGCUUAAUACAUGCAAGUCGAGGGAUGCCAGCAAUGGUAGACCGGCAAACGGGUGCGUAACACGUACACAACUUUCCGUCAAGUGGGGCAUAGCCCGGGGAAACCCGGAUUAAUACCCCAUAAAAUAUAGGCUGCGGCAUCGCAGUAAUAUUAAAGCUCCGGCGCUUGAUGAUGGGUGUGCGGCUGAUUAGGUAGUUGGCGGGGUAACGGCCCACCAAGCCUUCGAUCAGUAGCUGAUGUGAGAGCAUGAUCAGCCACACGGGCACUGAGACACGGGCCCGACUCCUACGGGAGGCAGCAGUAAGGAAUAUUGGUCAAUGGGCGCAAGCCUGAACCAGCCAUGCCGCGUGGAGGAUGAAGGUCCUCUGGAUUGUAAACUUCUUUUAUUUGGGACGAAAAACGGGGAUUCUUCCUCACUUGACGGUACCAGAUGAAUAAGCACCGGCUAACUCCGUGCCAGCAGCCGCGGUAAUACGGAGGGUGCAAGCGUUAUCCGGAUUCACUGGGUUUAAAGGGUGCGUAGGCGG